CCCAAGCACAGAGUGUGCUCAGGGUCCUAUUCUUCACAACAGCCUUCCUUUCACUGCCUGCUCAGCAAGCAGAAAAGGUUAACAUUUCCAUCUUCCGUCCUAAGGAGAUGCCUGCUGGGACUUGGUCUCAGGCAUGAGUCUUUUCUUCCUCCUUCCUGGGAGGGGUUGGAACUAAGCCUCAAAGCAGAGUAGCUGACAACGUGGCGUGGGAGAGGCUUGGAUGUGUCGCUGGAGAGAAACAUUCUUGCCACCCCCACCCUAAAGAGGCUGCGGGGACAGGCAGCCCAGCCCUCCUGGCCUAUUUUCGGGCUGGAGAGAGGUUCAGUCUCAGGCACAGUUUUGGGAGGCAGAUCAGCCUCCCUGUUCCGGCCUCCCACUCCCAUGGAGCUCUCUGCUGCCUCUUCCAAGGGGCCGCAGAUACCCGUUCCUUGCUCUAUUUCUUCACCAGCCCUACCUGUUCUCAGUCCAUUACCUCAUGGCCCUGCUCUCUGCUUACUAAAGUGACAAUUCGUCUAUAAGGAAGCCCUUGCACUGUAGCUGAGGAUUCGCGAGGCUGCACCCUCAGCAGGCACUGUGGCCACACAGCACUGGCCUGAGAUCUGAGUUCCUGGAGCCUCGGCCCUGAGGCCCAUGGCCAUAGAACAAGCCAUUUUCAACAAAAGGACUUGCAAAUUCCUGCCUUAGGGCUCCUUCUGCACAGGACAGACCUUUCAUCACCAACCCAACUUGUAAUCUUGGGUAAAGAAGGUUCUCAGCUCAUUUUCAAGAAGAAAAAAAAAAUGGAAGGAGCUAGCAGCCCCAAAGUACUUCCACUGAAGCCUUUGGAAAAGAGGGAAGACUCCAAGUCUCUGGCACCUGCAGAAGAGGGGAAUCUUGAGAAGUAGCUGACGCUCCGAGUUUACAUGUCCCCUUGGUGAGAUUUCUUACAGCAGAACAUGACGUUCUUCCCACCCCCAGGAUGCAAACCACUUUAAAAGAAUGUUAUACUUUGCUCUGCGUGGCCAAAUACCACAAACACCACUUGAUUUUAAAAUUAUGUAGUCUUGGUAUUCCAAAGCCAACGUGCACCACCAUGCAAGAACAGAUGCGGUCUCUGAAGGCAAAAGCCCCAGGCAGUGCUUAAGUCUCAAAAAAGAGUUGUCAUGUCAUCCUCAACUUGAGAUGUUUGCUUGGCAAGCAUUUUUUACUCUCUGGAGGAAAUUUUGUUUACAGGAUUUAACAGUUACACACACAAACACACACACACACACACACACACACACACACAAUUACUCAUUGUUCAGCUGCAGAACAAAGGUCAGCUCUUGGCACGCAGUAGUUUUCCAAUUCCUGAUCCUUUUUGAUUUUCAAUGUGCCCAUCAGCAGACAUGUAAUUUUAUCUUAAGACAGCCAAGUGCAAAGCAUGAGACAAUAGGCAGAAAUCUUGUAAAUAACUAUCAAACAGAAAUAAUCCUUUCAGCUGACGAGGGAAAGCCUCCUUUGUUCCAUUUUAAUGAUGUUUAUAUAAAUUUUAGUAUGCAUAUUCA
Molecule: long non-coding RNA, 1526 nt
Organism: Homo sapiens (human)
Lineage: Eukaryota; Metazoa; Chordata; Mammalia; Primates; Hominidae
Exons: 3
Source: RefSeq, a predicted model, not a curated record